AUCUGGUUCCCUGCAAACGCCGCGGUGAGUACUGAGAAGAGCGAAGAGAGGCGUGCAACAACACCUGUCUCCUUGCUACUGACCAGCUGCUGCUCCAGAGAACCUGUGACUGUGAACUUCUCACGCUGCGGGAUACGGAAGAUUCCUACAAAGGCGUGUCAGGUCAAAUUCAUUAACAGUGUGAAAGAUAUCAUCAGCAGAUUGAGGCACUACAUGAACAAUGAAUGCUGCAG
Molecule: long non-coding RNA, 233 nt
Organism: Megalops cyprinoides (Indo-Pacific tarpon)
Lineage: Eukaryota; Metazoa; Chordata; Actinopteri; Elopiformes; Megalopidae
Exons: 3
Source: RefSeq, a predicted model, not a curated record